Molecule: long non-coding RNA, 1042 nt
Filed under: Musa acuminata (dwarf banana)
Lineage: Eukaryota; Viridiplantae; Streptophyta; Magnoliopsida; Zingiberales; Musaceae
Description: long non-coding RNA (MACU_LNC002238)
Source: RNAcentral
AGGAAUCGAAUAGAACUAAGACAUCUCCUCAUGAACACCAAAAACACUAACAGCACAACUGUUCAAAAAGAGCAUUCAUCCAAUGAAGCAGACAGUGAACGAGGUGAAAUCUAUAAACGAAAGAUGAUUAUCUACUAAAACAUCAACAUUGAUGAGCUGCCAUGAUAUCUUUCUUCACCUCUGCUUCCCUACAUUCCAACGCAGCUACAAAGAAGCCAGAAACACCCAUUACUCCAGAGAUAUGUCGCUAUACAUCUCUCAGAACAAUAAAGAGAAACUAGGAGCUACAGCGAGAGGAAGCCAGAGCAGCCAUCAUCGAAGUUGAGCGCAUAGCUGAAGGGAUCAUAAUGGAAGCUGAAACGCUGCUUGCUCUCUCUUGCUCUUCCCAGCUGCCUCCUUAUUCCGGCUCUGAGCCUCCAGUAGAGGCUUCUAAACCUCCCUUUCCCUCCUCCUGUGGCCGUCCCAGCCUCUCCUGCGGCUGCCAUCACCACUCCACCUCACAGAGAGCAAAUGGAAUAAGAUUCCCAAACCUUCGAGGGACGCAAGACAGCACCGCACCUGACAAGGAGCAGGCGACCUCUAGUCCAUCCUUCGGAAGGAGAGGUGAGAUAGAAUGAGACUGGUUGGGUUAACUCUGAGGCUAUAGUGGACGUUACAGAGCUUUAUAGGACGGACAAAGAUUGUGGGAGUGCUACUUUUGAUUCCUCUUUCACUUUGUUUAUGCUCCUAUGUUCACAAUAUUAUGGUAUGUGGCAAGUUUUGGCCAUCACAUGGGCAAAGGGAGGUCAGAGCUGCAUGCCUUGUGGCUUGCUACUGCUUCCUUCAUAUUUAAUGCUAGCAUGUCCAUCUAAUUAAACAACAGAAAAUCCAAGAAAAUUCUGAGAAUAAUUGAUGGAUGUAUGAUCCAGUUCAAACUAUUGUUGUGCAGAGAUGCAAGUGGAAUGUGGAGCCCUGAUGAGGAGGUAUCUCAUCUUUCUUUAAAGCUCCCAGUAGUACUGGAUUGAGAAACUGGGGGAGGUUGAUUCAAUCACUCUUUCUACUU